Molecule: long non-coding RNA, 2673 nt
Filed under: Lynx pardinus (Iberian lynx)
Lineage: Eukaryota; Metazoa; Chordata; Mammalia; Carnivora; Felidae
Source: RNAcentral
CUGCUCAGCAAAUUCCUCGAUUUGAAAUUACGAUCACAGGUUGGAGUGCUACUUAAAAUAAUUUUGCCAAAUGUUCCAUCUCGCUGCGUUGAUGAAUAUAAUGGAUGAAAAUUUAAAGAGAAAAAAUUUAAGAAUUCACUUUGUUGAAGACAAAAAGAGAGCGGGCGAGAGAGAGAGAGAGAGAGAGAGAGAGAGAGAGACUGCAUCCACGGCCUUCAUGUGGACACCUGAGGGAUUCUCUCCCACAGCAAGCUGGCCCAGUGCUGGACUUCUGGAAGCGUUCCCCUGGUGGGGAGAUGGGGCUGCUGUCAGGCCUGGCCGGCCACAGAUGGAGGGGGCAGAGGUCAGGGCGGGUGUUGGGUUUGUUUAAGCGUGAGUCAGAGGCAGGGUGGGGGUAGACCCUCGGUGUCCGAUUUCCAAUUUCCUGUUCGAGUCACUGAUGGGCACUUCUCGCCGGCCCAGCCAGCCUUUUAUGCACACCGAUCCGCAGAACAAAGGCAGGCAAGAAGAGAGCCACAAAUAACCCGACAGGCCAGGUCUUCCUUCACUAAGGUAGAUUCCUCUCUCCGACUCAGGGAGGCCGGGCCCAAAGCAGACCGCCGAGUGUUGCCCGGAGAUCACACGAGGCCUAGCACCGGGGCUCCUGGCUUCCUCCCCUCGGUGGGGACCUGGCCCCGGCCGUAGCCUCACGCUAGCCUAUCCAUUGGGUUGGCCCAGUGCUCAGGGGCCCUCCAGGCGCCUGGGGCUCAACGAACCUGGCAGACAGGCCUCGAUGAGUUCAAACAUGGGGUCUUGCAUCACACUGGAUUCUACCAACUCAAGUGGACUCCGUGUAAGACACUUCCCUCAUUUUCUGAGGCUUCCUCUGUGUUUGGGAAGUAGGUGGGGAGGGAUGAGCAAGUCCUGAGCACAGAGAGGGUGGUGAGAGUCUCUCUCAAGUUCUUCCACAGCCAAAAAGCCCUCACGACAAGGAGGCACUUCUGCCAGCAGGGGCCCACGGUCAGGCCUGCCUCUGCACAAGGAUUCCGGAAAACCGAUAAAGGCCAUGUGCCUCCAAGGUCACCUUCAAAGCAAACUGCUCUCUCAAAAUCUGUUCCACCGCCCUGUAUGAGUCUUGCCAUUCAUGGGAACCCAGCCCCUCUGAAAACAGCCCCAGCUUGUUGAGGGUCUAUUUAUUUGGCUCUGUGUCCUUCAAGAACACAAAGGUGAUGUCUUCAGUUGUGCUGCAUCAUGAUAAGCUGGCCUGGUGAGCUUAAGGGGAGCCCCGUGUACUCUCCCCAAGAUGAUGUUUGCACCCAGCCUUGCAAAACACUGGAAAGAAACGAUGGCUUCCUCAGGGUCUCCUCAGUCUUGGAGGCAGAGAGGCCAGGGUGUGGCAGACUAUUCCAGACCCAUCACUUCCCAGCAGGGUGAUGCUGGGGAGGUUCCGUCUCCUCAUCUGUUGAAGGAGCACGAUUCUGUGCGUGUCACCAGGUAGCAGUGGGAGCUAAAGGAGCCCCGCUGUUGGUAAGCAGGAGUCUUUCCAGCUAUUUCCACCAGAAAUGGCAGCGGAGCAGGGCAGAAGGAAGCACCCAUCUCCAGGUCAGGGCCGAAGGGGAAGGAGUCUUUACAUACAGGAAUGCUACUGGUCUCUGUCACACCCUCAACCUCCAGCUUUGCUCGAAGGUCCGAUUACCAGCUUGUCUCCAACGUAUGACCACCCCCCCAACCCAAGCCCAGCCCAGUCCAGAGCAGCCCUGUGGUGGCUCCACUCCCAGGCCCGCCUCGUGGGCUGCUGGGGGUCACAGGCAGAGGCAGGGGACAUCUCACUACACUGUCUAUGGACACAUCUCUCCCCGUCUGUCAUCACUCUUUCGACCCCCAAAGAAUGCCUGAACACUUGGCUUCUCCAGCCUCUUUUGGAGGAAAGAAAUGUCUUAGGUUCCUUUAACUUUGGGCCACGCUGUCUCCCUUCUACCCCGGCUCACCCAGUGCACAGGAGGAAUGGCCGCCCCGUGGAAGGAGGAUUCUAUCACUGACAGAGUUCAGAAUCACCGGUGCAUGGCAAUUAGAGAUUUCAAAAGCGGUAAGCUCUUGAGAGAGUGCACCCCUCAUGGCACACCCACCCCCGCACCCCUCAUCUCCUGGGUGCCCCCCCUCUUUCUGCUCCUGAUGCUCUUAUCACAAAGAGCGAUAUGCACUCCUGCUCACAUCUCUGCUACAGGAGCUGUCGGGAGAGAAGCUUGUGAGAACUCAAGAAAAGGGUGCUCUCCUUCUCCCUGGAAGUUAUUUUUGGGCCCAUUGGGCAAGCAAAGAAAUGACUCCUCUGCAGAGAUCAUCACAGACAUAUGAGAAGGGUCCUGGGGGCCUCCUUUUUCUUCUUGUUUUUUUUUUUUCCUUUGUUUGCAGCUCACCACAUUUAAUGAGGAAGUACUGACCAUAAGGAGAGGAAACUUUCACCCCAACCACUCCCAGGACCCGCGUCCCCAUCAGCAGUGAGGUAAGAACAUUCUUUUAUUCUAGCCCUUCUGCUCCAUCCACUCAUGUGGAAGCAAACAGGGAAAGCACGGAUGAUGAAGUCACAUUUUGUACCUUGGACAGGUGACUUCCUCGAGAAACUUCUGGAAAGCAAAAUGAGAAGCUUUACUCCACACAAUCAAAAUGACUUAAGUCAUACGUAAUCCCAACAGCUUG